GGGAAAGUAGCUCAGUGAUAGAGUGCUUGCCUUGCAUGCAUGAGGCUCUGGGUUCGAUUCCUCAGUACCA
Molecule: transfer RNA, 70 nt
Filed under: Dipodomys ordii (Ord's kangaroo rat)
Lineage: Eukaryota; Metazoa; Chordata; Mammalia; Rodentia; Heteromyidae
Rfam family: tRNA
About the family: Transfer RNA (tRNA) molecules are approximately 80 nucleotides in length. Their secondary structure includes four short double-helical elements and three loops (D, anti-codon, and T loops).
Source: Rfam by way of RNAcentral